GAUGAAGAACGCAGCGAAAUGCGAUAAGUAAUGCGAAUUGCAGAAUUCAGUGAAUCAUCGAAUCUUUGAACGCACAUUGCGCCCGCCAGUACUCUGGCGGGCAUGCCUGUCUGAGCGUCAUUUCAACCCUCGCGCCCGGCUUCUGUCGGGGGCGGUGUUGGGGAUCGGCCUCCCGUCUUCCGGGCGGCCGGCCCCUAAAUUGAGUGGCGACCGCGCCGUAGCCUCCUCUGCGUAGUAGUGAAACACUCGCGGGCGGAGAGCGGUGCGGCCCGCCGUAAAACCCCCAACUCUUCUAAGGUUGACCUCAGAUCAGGUAGGAAUACCCGCUGAACUUAAGCAUAUCAAUAAGCGGAGGA
RNAcentral lists this unclassified non-coding RNA (356 nucleotides) under soil metagenome. Its description in RNAcentral is "partial contains 5.8S ribosomal RNA, internal transcribed spacer 2, and large subunit ribosomal RNA". The stretch from base 1 to 120 matches the Rfam family "5.8S ribosomal RNA", at positions 35 to 154 of the family's 154-position model. The record is from RNAcentral.